UACGAAGGGGGCUAGCGUUGUUCGGAAUUACUGGGCGUAAAGCGCACGUAGGCGGACUAUUAAGUCAGGGGUGAAAUCCCGGGGCUCAACCCCGGAACUGCCUUUGAUACUGGUAGUCUCGAGUCCGGAAGAGGUGAGUGGAAUUCCGAGUGUAGAGGUGAAAUUCGUAGAUAUUCGGAGGAACACCGGUGGCGAAGGCGGGUCUCUGGGCCGAUACUGACGCUGAGGAGCGAAAGCGUGGGGAGCGAACAGG
This 253-nucleotide ribosomal RNA is filed under the name uncultured bacterium. RNAcentral's name for it is "partial 16S ribosomal RNA". It matches the Rfam family "Bacterial small subunit ribosomal RNA", at positions 524 to 776 of the family's 1533-position model. The record is from RNAcentral.